Non-coding RNA from Podarcis lilfordi (Lilford's wall lizard), 71 nucleotides. The record is from the annotation of a GenBank genome assembly. NCBI's taxonomy places the organism in Eukaryota, Metazoa, Chordata, Lepidosauria, Squamata, Lacertidae.
GCUUUGUGUCCAGCUGGUAGAGCAUGAGACUCUUAAUCUCAGGGUCAUGGCCUCAAGCCCCAUGUUGGGCA